AAUCACGCCAACAAAAUAUUCGUGGUAAUAUAUGGCCUCAUUUCAACACUUAGGUCGGGGGUUUGAAUCCCCUAAAGUGCAUAUUUUUUCAGAAUUUCGCUAACACCCAAAAUGGUCGGUUCGAUAAACUGUCAGUUUGAGAAAAUAUGCAAGCCCUAGAGGACACAACCCAACCCCAAUUCCAUAUCCAACCCUGAGAAGAGAGAGCUAGCCAUGCACAUAUAUCCAACAUGUAGACAACUAUGAACUGAUGGCCCUCUGAAGUAAUCUUGGCCACCAUACCUAUUAUUCAUCCACAUUAACCAUAUGAAAUAUCUAGUAAGUGAACAAAUUUCUUCUCUCUUAAAACCAAGGCAACUUUUAUUUGUUUUGAAUACAUGCAUGGCGG
This 388-nucleotide long non-coding RNA is filed under the name Prunus persica (peach). RNAcentral describes it as "long non-coding RNA (PPER_LNC001709)". Lineage: Eukaryota; Viridiplantae; Streptophyta; Magnoliopsida; Rosales; Rosaceae. The record is from RNAcentral.